ACAAGCGGUGGAGCAUGUGGUUUAAUUCGAAGCAACGCGAAGAACCUUACCAGGUCUUGACAUCCCCUGACAACCGAGAGAUCGGCGUUCCCCUUCGGGGGACAGGGUGACAGGUGGUGCAUGGUUGUCGUCAGCUCGUGUCGUGAGAUGUUGGGUUAAGUCCCGCAACGAGCGCAACCCUCGACCUUAGUUGCCAGCAUUCAGUUGGGCACUCUAAGGUGACUGCCGGCUAAAAGUCGGAGGAAGGUGGGGAUGACGUCAAAUCAUCAUGCCCCUUAUGACCUGGGCUACACACGUGCUACAAUGGGCGGUACAAAGGGUCGCGAACCCGCGAGGGGGAGCCAAUCCCAAAAAGCCGCUCUCAGUUCGGAUUGCAGGCUGCAACUCGCCUGCAUGAAGUUGGAGUUGCUAGUAAACGCAGGUCAGCCAUACUGCGUUGAAUACGUUCCCGGGGCUU
RNAcentral lists this ribosomal RNA (457 nucleotides) under uncultured Anoxybacillus sp. Its description in RNAcentral is "bacterial SSU rRNA". It matches the Rfam family "Bacterial small subunit ribosomal RNA", at positions 925 to 1382 of the family's 1533-position model. The record is from RNAcentral. Lineage: Bacteria; Bacillati; Bacillota; Bacilli; Caryophanales; Anoxybacillaceae.